GGAGGCUGUAGCUCAGUGGUAGAGCGUCCGUCUUGCAUGCAGCGGGUCCCGGGUUCAAUUCCUGGCAUCUCCC
Podarcis lilfordi (Lilford's wall lizard) is the source of this 73-nucleotide non-coding RNA. The record is from the annotation of a GenBank genome assembly. Lineage: Eukaryota; Metazoa; Chordata; Lepidosauria; Squamata; Lacertidae.